GAUACUCAAUUUAAAGUGAGUAAACAGAAUUCCAUACUCGAUCUCAUAGAUCCCUAUAGAAUUCUGUGGAAAGCCGUAUUCGAUGAAAGUCGUAUGUACGGCUUGGAGGGAGAUCUUUCCUAUCUUUCGAGAUCCACCCUACAAUAUGGGGUCAAAAAGCCAAAAAAAUAA
RNAcentral lists this ribosomal RNA (171 nucleotides) under Triticum aestivum (bread wheat). Lineage: Eukaryota; Viridiplantae; Streptophyta; Magnoliopsida; Poales; Poaceae. The record is from RNAcentral.